UACGGAAGGCAGCAGGGGGAAUAUUGCACAAUGGGCGCAAGCCUGAUGCAGCCAUGCCGCGUGUAUGAAGAAGGCCUUCGGGUUGUAAAGUACUUUCAGUCGUGAGGAAGGUGUUAAGGUUAAUAACCUUAGCAAUUGACGUUAGCGACAGAAGAAGCACCGGCUAACUCCGUGCCAGCAGCCGCGGUAAUACGGAGGGUGCGAGCGUUAAUCGGAAUUACUGGGCGUAAAGGGCACGCAGGCGGUUAAUUAAGUUGGAUGUGAAAUCCCCGGGCUUAACCUGGGAAUGGCAUUCAAGACUGGUUAGCUAGAGUCUUGUAGAGGGGGUUAGAAUUCCAUGUGUAGCGGUGAAAUGCGUAGAGAUGUGGAGGAAUACCGGUGGCGAAGGCGGCCCCUGGACAAAGCUGACGCCCAUGUGCGAAAGCGUGGGGAGCAAACAGGGAUUAGAUACC
RNAcentral lists this ribosomal RNA (452 nucleotides) under uncultured bacterium. RNAcentral's name for it is "bacterial SSU rRNA". It matches the Rfam family "Bacterial small subunit ribosomal RNA", at positions 340 to 786 of the family's 1533-position model. The record is from RNAcentral.